UACAGAGGUGGCAAGCGUUGUUCGGAAUUACUGGGCGUAAAGGGCGCGUAGGCGGUCUUGUAAGUCUUGUGUGAAAUCCCUCGGCUCAACUGAGGAACUGCACGGGAUACUGCGAGACUUGAGUUCGGGAGAGGGAAGCGGAAUUCCGGGUGUAGCGGUGAAAUGCGUAGAUAUCAGGAGGAACACCGGUGGCGAAGGCGGAUCUCUGGGCCAUUACUGACGCUGAGGAGCGAAAGCGUGGGGAGCGAACAGG
Molecule: ribosomal RNA, 253 nt
Filed under: uncultured bacterium
Lineage: Bacteria
Description: partial 16S ribosomal RNA
Rfam family: Bacterial small subunit ribosomal RNA
Source: RNAcentral